RNAcentral lists this unclassified non-coding RNA (281 nucleotides) under Glomus sp. RNAcentral's name for it is "partial contains 5.8S ribosomal RNA and internal transcribed spacer 2". The stretch from base 1 to 72 matches the Rfam family "5.8S ribosomal RNA", at positions 84 to 154 of the family's 154-position model. Lineage: Eukaryota; Fungi; Glomeromycota; Glomeromycetes; Glomerales; Glomeraceae. The record is from RNAcentral.
GUGAAUCAUCGAAUUUUUGAACGCAAAUUGCACUCUUCGGUUUUCCGGGAGAGUAUGCCUGUUUGAGGGUCUGUUUAAACAAUAAUCGAGGCUGCUGUUGUGGUGGCUCUUCGGAAUUGGGUCAUCUUUCACCUUUCGGUUGUAAGCGACCUAAAAUUUUUUUUUACGCUUUCUACGCACGUGUCUAAGAAUUUCUUGUACGUUAACGACAUCGAAAUCAUAUUAGGGGUGACCGCCGCGUCGGGUUCGCUCCCAUUAUAUGUCAUCUAGGGACUUCACAC